This is a long non-coding RNA of Oncorhynchus kisutch (coho salmon), 539 nucleotides long. RefSeq lists it as uncharacterized. The transcript is spliced from 3 exons. The record is from RefSeq and is a predicted model, not a curated record. Lineage: Eukaryota; Metazoa; Chordata; Actinopteri; Salmoniformes; Salmonidae.
UUAAAGUUUGAUGGCAGGGUCGUUCGCCUUGGCCUGUGAGAAGUCUCCCAGCAGACAGCUACUGACGGGCUGUGCCUACACUAAUGUGGCGGGCCUACUGGCUCUGUGUUUGUACAGCGUCUCCCUACACUCCGUCCAGGGCUCUGCUGCACUCUGCCAAGCAUCGACCUGUACACAUGGGCUGCACAAAAGUGCCCAGGAGAGUACCUAGAGGAGUUCUUCAGGAGUCUCACAGUCCUACUCAUCGUUUAUGACUUGGGUGCUCUUACCCUCCACUCUCUCCUCCCUUUCUCUGCACUCAAGGGACUUGGAGUGAGACUGUGCCGAAUGAUCAAUUAAUCAAUUAGUCAAACUGAUUAACCAAUGGAUGCUAGUUGAAAAACCUGUUUUAGAAAAAUAUUGAUCUGUUUAAUCCAAUUUUUCUCAGUGACCACAUUUCCUUUAACUUGUUUGAGUUUGUUUAUUUCAUGGGUUUGUUUGUUCCUUUCGAGCUUUACAGGCUUACAAUGUUUUGAGAAACCUAAUAAAAUAAUUUGUAU